Molecule: ribosomal RNA, 463 nt
Filed under: uncultured Klebsiella sp.
Lineage: Bacteria; Pseudomonadati; Pseudomonadota; Gammaproteobacteria; Enterobacterales; Enterobacteriaceae
Description: bacterial SSU rRNA
Rfam family: Bacterial small subunit ribosomal RNA
Source: RNAcentral
CCUACGGGUGGUGCAGUGGGGAAUAUUGCACAACGGGCGCAAGCCUGAUGCAGCCAUGCCGCGUGUGUGAAGAAGGCCUUCGGGUUGUAAAGCACUUUCAGCGGGGAGGAAGGCGUUAAGGUUAAUAACCUUGGCGAUUGACGUUACCCGCAGAAGAAGCACCGGCUAACUCCGUGCCAGCAGCCGCGGUAAUACGGAGGGUGCAAGCGUUAAUCGGAAUUACUGGGCGUAAAGCGCACGCAGGCGGUCUGUCAAGUCGGAUGUGAAAUCCCCGGGCUCAACCUGGGAACUGCAUUCGAAACUGGCAGGCUAGAGUCUUGUAGAGGGGGGUAGAAUUCCAGGUGUAGCGGUGAAAUGCGUAGAGAUCUGGAGGAAUACCGGUGGCGAAGGCGGCCCCCUGGACAAAGACUGACGCUCAGGUGCGAAAGCGUGGGGAGCAAACAGGAUUAGAUACCUUGUAGUC